UGUGGACAUUCCGUCACUCUCCUCAGGCUCUGUCCUAGUGGCAUAUGGGACUAUAGGACCCCACCAGUUGAUGUAAAUUCCCUUUCCACAAUGCAAGAGAUGAAGCUGAGCUUCAAGUCUGCUCCUGAAUAUUCCUACAACUUCUUAGAGUCCUGAGGAGGAUGACUGAGGAGACAAACCAUGCUGAAAACAAAA
This is a small nucleolar RNA of Arvicanthis niloticus (Nile rat), 195 nucleotides long. RefSeq annotates it as small nucleolar RNA SNORA73 family. NCBI's taxonomy places the organism in Eukaryota, Metazoa, Chordata, Mammalia, Rodentia, Muridae. The record is from RefSeq and is a predicted model, not a curated record.